RNAcentral lists this ribosomal RNA (492 nucleotides) under uncultured bacterium. RNAcentral's name for it is "partial 16S ribosomal RNA". It matches the Rfam family "Bacterial small subunit ribosomal RNA", at positions 29 to 507 of the family's 1533-position model. The record is from RNAcentral.
AGUGAACGCUGGCGGUAGGCCUAACACAUGCAAGUCGAACGGCAGCACAGUAAGAGCUUGCUCUUACGGGUGGCGAGUGGCGGACGGGUGAGGAAUACAUCGGAAUCUACUUUUUCGUGGGGGAUAACGUAGGGAAACUUACGCUAAUACCGCAUACGACCUACGGGUGAGAGCAGGGGAUCUUCGGACCUUGCGCGAUUGAAUGAGCCGAUGUCGGAUUAGCUAGUUGGCGGGGUAAAGGCCCACCAAGGCGACGAUCCGUAGCUGGUCUGAGAGGAUGAUCAGCCACACUGGAGCUGAGACACGGUCCAGACUCCUACGGGAGGCAGCAGUGGGGAAUAUUGGACAAUGGGCGCAAGCCUGAUCCAGCCAUACCGCGUGGGUGAAGAAGGCCUUCGGGUUGUAAAGCCCUUUUGUUGGGAAAGAAAAGCAGCAGGUUAAUACCCCGCUGUUCUGACGGUACCCAAAGAAUAAGCACCGGCUAACUUCGUG